This is an RNA transcript of Carassius carassius (crucian carp), 2920 nucleotides long. It is a transcript of the gene named pannexin-1-like, with no coding region annotated. The transcript is spliced from 8 exons. The record is from RefSeq and is a predicted model, not a curated record. NCBI's taxonomy places the organism in Eukaryota, Metazoa, Chordata, Actinopteri, Cypriniformes, Cyprinidae.
CCUGCCCACCGGAACUAGAGGUGCACUUGACACAUACUGUACAUUUAAUCGCAACAAUGGCAAUAGCACGCGUUGCUACCGAAUAUGUGUUUUCUGAUUUUUUGUUGAAAGAGCCGAGUGAUUCUAAGUAUAAAGGCGUGCGGCUGGAACUGGCAACAGACAAACUGGUCUGUUUUAUCGCGGUUGGGCUUCCUUUGUUAUUCAUCUCACUCGCCUUUGCACAAGAAGUCUCUGUGGGUUCUCAGAUCACAUGUUUUCCCCCAACUAAUUUCACAUUGAGGCAGGCUGCAUAUGUGGACUCCUUCUGCUGGGCUGCAGUAGAGCAUCACCCAACAGAAAAUGGGGCAGAUAGCACCCCUCUUUAUCUACACAAGUUCUUUCCUUAUAUCCUUCUGCUGGUCGCCAUCCUCAUGUACAUUCCUGCUCUCUUCUGGCGCUUCACGGCUGCCCCUUCCCUAUCCUCUGACCUCAGUUUUAUCAUGGAGGAACUCGACCGUUGCUACAACCGUGCCAUCCGCCUCGCCAAGAGCCUCACAUCCAAACAAGACAAGGACAUUGCAGAAGACCCACACAGUGGUCUUGAAAUGACUGAAGCUUGUUUUAAGUACCCUCUUGUAGAGCAGUAUUUAAAGACAAAGCGUUCAUCGUGGGCUUUGGCUGCAAAGUAUCUGCUUUGUCGGGUUUUAACAUUCCUCACUUUACUGCUGGCCUGCUUUUAUCUGACCUACUACAUCUUUUGGGUUUCACCUAGUGAUCAAUUCUCCUGUAACCUGCGCAGAGGUAUAUUAGUAAAUGAGAGUGCGGUGCCAGAUGCAGUUCAAUGUAAGCUGGUGGCAGUGGGUGUUUUCCGCCUGCUAAGUUGCAUGAAUCUGGUGGUGUAUUUACUUUUAGUACCAGCUGUGGUUUACACUGCCUUCCAACCUGCAUGCCAGCACCAGCGUGCUCAGUUCCUCCGUCCAUACCACCUACUGCCUGCGUUCGGUCACGUGCUGGAUUUGCAGCCUACCACUCGCCGUUAUGAUGACCUCAGCAUCUACCUGCUGUUCUUGGAGGAAAACCUGAGUGAGCUUAAGAGCUACAAAUGUUUACAGGUGUUGGAGCUGCUGUCAGAGGGAGGGGAAGCAGCAUUUGACACCAUGUGUCUCCUCAGGACACUAGGACAAGUGAGGACUGACAUGGUGGACAGAAAACAAGCUCAAACUGUAAAGGGUAAUGCAGAGAAAGAAAUCUCUGAAAUAAAGGAUGCCACUUCUGUUCUGCUGGAUGAUGGAGUACAGAUGGAAAAAAGUUGCAGCUGUGUGAAAGACGUAAGACACAGGGUGGUCUAACAUAUAACAAAGUCAAAUCAAAUGACAAACAAUUAGUUUACAUGUUUUUUUGAAUAUAAAGGAAAUGUAAGAUUACAUAAUGCUUGAAUAUAACACUUUACUAAUUUACUAACUGCAGAACUGAGCUUUUUAUGCCUUUAUAUUUUUUAAUAACUUUAAGUUAUUCAUGAGGUUGAUGAAUGUUAAGUCCCUAUUGUAUGCAUUAUGAAAACAAUGAUACAAAAUAUGUUCUGGGGCGACCUUUGUGGGUACAGUGAUGUUGCAACAAUGAAUCUAAAUAAUAAUUAAUAUGCUAAUGUUAGAAUACUAACAACUAACUUCUGCCAAUGUUGUUUCUUGGUAACAAACCAUUUAAGCAAUUCCUCUUAACAUACUAAUAAUUUCAAUAAUUAUAGAAUGAUUGCAUGGUGAGUAAUGUGAACAAAAAGUCAUAAAAAUGUUCAUUAUAAACCAUCCAUUGCUAAUCUUAUAUGCACCAUGUACUUGCAAAAUGAAGAAAUUGGGGUGCAGAAAAGAUGGUGUUUCCCUGAGGCAACAUCAUAGUUAAGACAGAAAAGAUAUGUUCAUUGUAAUCUCUAAAUGAUUGGAAAUUAUUUUUGGUGUGCAAACCAAGGAUUAAUUAGGUUCUAUUUCUAGAGGUAGUGAUGCACUGCCUAUGCAAAAGCAAUAAUCAAACAUACAAACUAUAAUGUAUGAUAUGUAUAAUUAUAUUUCUUUGUUUUUAUGUUAAAUAUUUAGCAGUUUUAUAUUUAUUUGAUACAGAUUUACAGUAUUGUGUCAGAGAUUAUUAUUUUGUAGCUCUAAUUGUAAUGUUUUUGUUUUAUGUUUUCUAACCUUAAAGGGGGUCAUCGGGUGCCCAUUAUUAUAUGGAUGCCCGUUAGUUUAUAUGAUUUUUUAAGAGUCUUAAUUAAAAGUCUAUAACAUACUUUGGCUGAAAUUUCUCAAAAGUAGUGUAGAAAACACCCUUUUUACCCGGUCAAAAUCAGCUCUGUUUUCAGCACGCAGUUCUAGUCCAUGUUGCUUUAAAUGCUAAUGAGCUCUGCUGACCCCGCCCCUCUCUUCUGUGAAAAACAGUUAUACUCACUUCUUCUGGAGAUGAAGCUGGAUCACGAAUGAUUCACCUGAACAUAAAUGCAGAUAGGCAGAUCAGGGAUCGGUGCAUCCCUUUCAAAAUGAAAGUAAUGUUAAUCCUCUGGAUCUUCAGCGGCUCAGAUGUCGGGAGUAAAUAAGGACUGUUAUGUUCAUUAUUACAUCCAGCAACACAACAUCUCAAUCGCUUAAUCUGAGACAUUCUUGUCUUCCCCUGCACCUGAGUCGACACAAUGGUGGACAGCUCUCCACUCACUCAGGGCUGGUCUUGAAGGUGGAUCUGUGAAGACACUUCCAACACACAUUUAUGUUCAGACAACAACAAAAGUGAAUUUUGCAUCCGAUGACCCCUUUAAAUCCUUCAAAGGUGUUAAAUGGCAUGUCUUCAGAGGUGAUCUCUUUAAACAUGGUGCUUGUAACCCUAAUAAAAGAUUUUAAUGGACUGCAUUCAGGGAUGUAGAAUACAGGCUUGUAAUGUAAUAAAAGCACUCCAUUUCCCCCAU